GUUGUUGCGUAACAGGCGGGGAGAAAAAGGCUAAGGGACUAAGAUAUCAAGGUUUAUCACUGAGGACAAGCGGGUUUUUUAGCCUGUUGAUUAUGGGCGAGGUCGACUGGAUAAAGAUAUGAU
Non-coding RNA from Caenorhabditis elegans, 123 nucleotides. Lineage: Eukaryota; Metazoa; Nematoda; Chromadorea; Rhabditida; Rhabditidae. The record is from Ensembl.